This 88-nucleotide microRNA precursor is filed under the name Pelobates cultripes (western spadefoot toad). Lineage: Eukaryota; Metazoa; Chordata; Amphibia; Anura; Pelobatidae. The record is from RNAcentral.
CCAAGCUACUGAUGCAUUGCAGAUAAAAUGCAGAUAAGGCAGACUGCAGCCUUAUCUGCAUUUUAUCUGCAAUGCAUCAGUAGCUUGG